GCCUCUCUUGGUGUGGAGCUGUCACCAGGCUGUGACCCACCCUCUGACACCUGUCAGUCCUCACAGCCCAGCCCGCGGAGCUCAUGCAGAGUGCUGGAGUCUGUGAGCCUUGGGAAGGCAGGCUGGAGCUCUUUAUCUUCCUGUGUGGGGAGUGUGCCCUUAAAUACCUGGACCUGCCUGCAUCCGCUUUACAUAGACUGACUGAACGGCCAUUCACUAACACUGCGACCACACUCUCUC
Pelobates cultripes (western spadefoot toad) is the source of this 240-nucleotide non-coding RNA. The record is from the annotation of a GenBank genome assembly. Lineage: Eukaryota; Metazoa; Chordata; Amphibia; Anura; Pelobatidae.